RNAcentral lists this ribosomal RNA (385 nucleotides) under Salmonella enterica. Its description in RNAcentral is "bacterial SSU rRNA". It matches the Rfam family "Bacterial small subunit ribosomal RNA", at positions 59 to 440 of the family's 1533-position model. Lineage: Bacteria; Pseudomonadati; Pseudomonadota; Gammaproteobacteria; Enterobacterales; Enterobacteriaceae. The record is from RNAcentral.
AAGACCAACGGUAACAGGAAGCAGCUUGCUGCUUCGCUGACGAGUGGCGGACGGGUGAGUAAUGUCUGGGAAACUGCCUGAUGGAGGGGGAUAACUACUGGAAACGGUGGCUAAUACCGCAUAACGUCGCAAGACCAAAGAGGGGGACCUUCGGGCCUCUUGCCAUCAGAUGUGCCCAGAUGGGAUUAGCUUGUUGGUGAGGUAACGGCUCACCAAGGCGACGAUCCCUAGCUGGUCUGAGAGGAUGACCAGCCACACUGGAACUGAGACACGGUCCAGACUCCUACGGGAGGCAGCAGUGGGGAAUAUUGCACAAUGGGCGCAAGCCUGAUGCAGCCAUGCCGCGUGUAUGAAGAAGGCCUUCGGGUUGUAAAGUACUUUCAGC